GCUUCGACUAAGGUUCGAUUCGAGCGAAAGCGAGAAAGCGUUGCCAACGGCAACGACCCGAAGGGCGAAGCGCGCAGCGCUGAGUAAUCCUUCCCCCACCACCA
This 104-nucleotide small RNA is filed under the name Salmonella enterica subsp. enterica serovar Albany. Its description in RNAcentral is "partial RtT sRNA". It matches the Rfam family "RtT RNA", at positions 29 to 130 of the family's 130-position model. From Rfam's summary of the family: This family represents a bacterial cis-regulatory element known as RtT RNA. The exact function of RtT is unknown although it is thought that it may be involved in changing the cellular response in relation to amino acid starvation. Lineage: Bacteria; Pseudomonadati; Pseudomonadota; Gammaproteobacteria; Enterobacterales; Enterobacteriaceae. The record is from RNAcentral.